GCGACCCCAGGAUGGGCGAGGUCACCCGCU
RNAcentral lists this ribosomal RNA (30 nucleotides) under Dendrobium lindleyi. Its description in RNAcentral is "partial 26S ribosomal RNA". Lineage: Eukaryota; Viridiplantae; Streptophyta; Magnoliopsida; Asparagales; Orchidaceae. The record is from RNAcentral.